CCUAAAGGCAGGAGGUAUGUGACCCAUGUAGGAGCCGAGAGCUGACUGAGAUUCCCUACCUAGACGGACCUUGGCCCCCGGACCCGGUCUAGAGAAGACCACAGGACUACACGGAAGGACCUCCUCAUCUGGAUACCGGGACAGCGGGUUAAAGACUUUUUGAAGUAAAGAGGAGCAUCUCAUCUGAACCUGAUGUCUAUCUGGGAUAUUUAACUGCAGUUCUGUGAGUAUCCCAACUUAACCAUGAAGAUGAACUGCAAACUGUAAGUCAUUAAUUUCUCAUUACUCUUGGGCACAUUGAUGUAUUUUGGCUUCCUGGUGAGUUAACCUGUUACCUGAAGGUUGAUCUGAGUAGUCAGGAUGUUUUACUGGUUCAUGGGUUACUUAGGUGUUUGGUUUAUGUUGGUUUUAAUGAUUUGUUAAAAUGGUUACAGGCUCCAAGUUAUUGUUGUAAGCUGGAGUAAUGGGUUGGGUUCUGAUAUCGUCAGUCUUCUUUCAUUCUACUCUCCUGAGCUCUGCAUCUUCAUCACAUGAGUGUUGAUUUACUGAUGAGAGUAUGGUCUGAGUGAGCAGAGGUGCAUACUGGGAUACAGAGCUGUCUGAAGUCUACAGGUCUGUAGACACGCCCCCUCAGGGGAAACCGAGUGUUUGAGAAACUGUCGUGACGUCAGUUACAUGGACUGGAAUGUUCUUAAAGAUGGAGACAGGGAUUCAGAAGGAGAAACACCAGGGGGAGAUGAGGGGGCUCCUCAUCUCAACGACUAAAACACAACUUCAGUCUGACACCGAGAACCAUGGAACACAUUCAACAGUCCCCUCCAGGCAUCGUGACUCCUCAGGAACAAUUUCAUUUCCAAGAAGGUCUUAUUUGGGGCCAUCCCCAUAUGGAUCCUGCUCCUCAAGAGCCAACCCCCUCCACUGGGUGGUCUUCUGAACAGAUGACCUCCUUCCUGUCCUCAGGCUGACUAAAGCUGCACCAUUUGCAUCUGUGAAGGCCCCUCAUUCAGGAAACCACUGGACUACAAAGUCAUGACUUCAGAAACGUUGGAUCAACCUGGGACACAUUUUGGAGACGCCAAGCAUAAUCCAUCGCCAAUGUGGGACACCACUGAAGAAUGUUGUACUGUACAUAAUUCACGUCUCUGGAGACAUUGGUUGUUCUGUUAUGGGUGCCCUGGCAGGAGUGCUGGGGGGGGGGGGAUGAUGGAAUGUUAUUUGGCAUGAGGUUUUUACCCUGCAUGAUUGUUUGGCCUUUUAUGGCUCAGUGGUGUGUGUAUGUGUGUGUGUUUGACAUGAGAUGGGAGAUUUUUUUAGCAUCGCUAGGGUUCUACUGUGUGUGUGUGUGUGUGUCUCCCACUCACACCUGGCAUGGAGUUCUACGUGCCUGUCCUGGGUUCUAUGUGUGUGUGUCCGGCUUGCUUUGACAGUGAUAAUGUUCAUACGGGGGUCUGUGUGAUUGGCUUGGGAUAUUGGAAUGGUCAACUAAAUCAUACCUGAUGGACGGCCACAAGUUUACUUAACCUCCUCCAGUAGACAUGAAGAGCCCUGAGCGACGCUCCGGAGCGAGAUCCAACACACUGGGCAGGAAGGAGAGUAUCCAACUCAAGUGUAAAAGGAUGCAAGCGGCGUGUUCAGAUCAGUGACUUCAAACUAGGACUACACCAAUCAGGAUCAAUGGAGGAUGGACACCAAAAGGAAUUCCACAAGGAGAGUCUGACGUUGGAAAGGGACCUAAAUGGAUUUUCAAGAUGACCUUCAGACCUGUAAUGAGACGGCUCUUCCUACCUGGCUGGAUUGAUGGAGAGCCCUGUGGAUCUUGUCUUGCUCUCAGUUGCACGUCUUCUCAGGCUGAACUGUAUUUGUUUCGGACAGGACUAGCUGAACGAUUGGUUCCCUAAAAUCAGAACAAUCCGGGAACUCCAGCUAGUGCACUCUUCGAGCUGAAGUUGUGUUCUUCGGCUGAGGAGGUAAGGAAACCUUCACUGGGGCUUCAAGGUGUAAAGAGGAGACUGUUUCAAAGUGUUCCAUGGUACUCUGAUGAAGACCGUUGUUGUGUUCCACUGGCUGAGAGGAAGAACCCAAACAUCUUCCUCGUGGCCUUUCUUCUCUGAGAAUCCUGGCGCCAUCUUGAAGGAUAUUCCAGCUCAUGUAACUGAUGUCACGACAGAUUCUCAAACCCUUGGUUUCUCCUGAGGUGCGUGUCUAUUGAACUGAAGACUUCAGACAGCACUGUAUCCCAGCAUGCAUCUCUGCUCACUCAGACCACACCCCCAUGAGUAGGAUGCAACACUCUAGUGCUGGAGAUGUAGAGUUUUAUAAGUAACGAGGGAGCAGACUAAGGUGAUUAGAACACAAUGGAAUGUCUGUAAAUCUUUAAACCAUGAAGAUGGUUGGAUAGUUCAGGAAUAGGGCUUCUUUUUUCUAUGGGCAGUCCUUUCACUCAGAUGCCCACUUCUCACUGGAGCUGUACAUGUGUUGGCUGGCUGGCAUGAUUUGCUGUUGGUGAUGAGGCGGUCAGGGUGACGUUGCAGGGCUAUGGUCGGCUCUCUGUGAGCUCAAUGUUUAGAUUUGCUCUGUAUGUUUGUACCCUGAAUAAUCUAGAUAAUUGUCAAAUGUAGACGCGGUUUUGUAUUGAAUGAUUUUAGGUUUAAAGUUGUUGUGGGACGUACAUGGUAGUUUGGUUCUUCGUUUGGUUUUGAGUGAUAUAACUUGUACACACUGGGUGCAUAUUAAUGUAAAGGUACACUGAAUAGAAUUAAUGACCAACAGCAACAAACAGAUCUCCUCAAGGUAAGUCUGUUGGCUGUGUUUAAUGAAGACCAUCGCUGGACUUCAGGAUCUUCCUCCGUUCAGCUCAAGGUGAGGCGCUGGUUCUGUUUUUUCUUUGGUUGGUUCCGGCCGGAAUGUUCGGAUUCCAGUCGGACGGUUUGUGCUUCCCGCCGUGGAAGGUUCUGAGUGCGGUCACUUGAUUUAGUCCCAAUGGUUAGCAUAGAAUGUUGUAGUCUUGACAACCAUAAGAAACCACCUGGCAGUUAGUUGGACGGGAGUCCCCUGAGGGAAUCUGGCGGAACGUUCUGGAUUGUAUUUGCGUAACCUCGAGCCGUUGCCAACGGAAAGAAUUUUUUUGUCGGUUUCCAUUUGGAAUUGUUGCCCCUAUCUUAAACAACUUAAGUUUGAUAUUAAAUACAUACUGACACGUACGUCGUACAAUAUGUUGAUAAUUUCCGAUGGUUGCGCCGUACUUUUAACCACGAUGACGUGACGGGACUCUCAAUGCGUACAAAACAGCGUUCUACUUGCGGGCCCAUUUUUGACAUCAGUGAAGACUGAAAAUCAUUUCAAGGUAGAAGAUAAUUUGACAUUUCUUCAACGGAACCCAGCACCUGAAUAUGGCUGAGUAUAUUUGAUUUAAUAUCGAUACUGCUUAGUGUUCUUUGUUACUUCAGCUUUUCCACGUUCUAAAUAUCGGCUGUCAUUAAUUGCCACAGAAGUUAAACCCUACCCAAUGGAAUGACGUUAAACAACGACUUUGGUGCAGAGUUACCAACUGGAUAAUAUCAAAGCUAAAAUAAUGGCCGUCAUUCCCACAUGUUACAGUAGAAGAUACUCUAGAACUGUACAAGGUUAAAAAGGAAACAUGUAGUUUGUCCCAAGGUGUCUGCCUCCUCACCCAUAGCCAGACCUCCACCUCCUCACCCAGAGCCAGACCUCCACCUCCUCAGCCAGAGCCAGACCUCCACCUCCUCAGCCAGAGCCAGACCUCCACCUCCUCAGCCAGAGCCAGACCUCCACCUCCUCAGCCAGAGCCAGACCUCCACCUCCUCACCCAGAGCCAGACCUCCACCUCCUGUCAGAAGUCCUCCAGAACAGCUGAAAGGCGAGGCUGAGAGGCUGGGGACCGGAGGCUUGUGGUGCCAGGGUGGACCGGAGACUGAGGCUGGAGACCAGGGGCCUGCAGCACCGGACCAGAGGGUAACCAUCCUCAAGCUCAUCUGAAACACUAAAAUCCACGGUAGUUUAGGUCUGGUUUUGAUCAUCUUAUGACUUUAAAUCUGUGCCAAGCUGUGAUUUGAGUUAAUUCAUACGGGGGUUAUGCAAGAGUCAUAUGAGCCAUUAAUGUUACUAGUGCUGCUACGACCGUAGUGGAUGAAUUGCUGAACGCGAC
Gadus macrocephalus (Pacific cod) is the source of this 4165-nucleotide long non-coding RNA. RefSeq lists it as uncharacterized. The transcript is spliced from 4 exons. The record is from RefSeq and is a predicted model, not a curated record. NCBI's taxonomy places the organism in Eukaryota, Metazoa, Chordata, Actinopteri, Gadiformes, Gadidae.